This 515-nucleotide ribosomal RNA is filed under the name uncultured bacterium. RNAcentral describes it as "partial 16S ribosomal RNA". It matches the Rfam family "Bacterial small subunit ribosomal RNA", at positions 28 to 523 of the family's 1533-position model. The record is from RNAcentral.
GAUGAACGCUGGCGGCGUGCCUAAUACAUGCAAGUCGAGCGAAUGGAUUAAGAGCUUGCUCUUAUGAAGUUAGCGGCGGACGGGUGAGUAACACGUGGGUAACCUGCCCAUAAGACUGGGAUAACUCCGGGAAACCGGGGCUAAUACCGGAUAACAUUUUGAACCGCAUGGUUCGAAAUUGAAAGGCGGCUUCGGCUGGCACUUAUGGAUGGACCCGCGUCGCAUUAGCGAGUUGGUGAGGUAACGGCUCACCAAGGCAACGAUGCGUAGCCGACCUGAGAGGGUGAUCGGCCACACUGGGACUGAGACAUGGCCCAGACUCCUACGGGAGGCAGCAGUAGGGAAUCUUCCGCAAUGGACGAAAGUCUGACGGAGCAACGCCGCGUGAGUGAUGAAGGCUUUCGGGUCGUAAAACUCUGUUGUUAGGGAAGAACAAGUGCUAGUUGAAUAAGCUGGCACCUUGACGGUACCUAACCAGAAAGCCACGGCUAACUACGUGCCAGCCGCCGCAGUAA